UAGGGAAUCUUCCACAAUGGACGCAAGUCUGAUGGAGCAACGCCGCGUGAGUGAAGAAGGUCUUCGGAUCGUAAAGCUCUGUUGUUGGUGAAGAAGGAUAGAGGCAGUAACUGGUCUUUAUUUGACGGUAAUCAACCAGAAAGUCACGGCUAACUACGUGCCAGCAGCCGCGGUAAUACGUAGGUGGCAAGCGUUGUCCGGAUUUAUUGGGCGUAAAGCGAGCGCAGGCGGAAUGAUAAGUCUGAUGUGAAAGCCCACGGCUCAACCGUGGAACUGCAUCGGAAACUGUCAUUCUUGAGUGCAGAAGAGGAGAGUGGAACUCCAUGUGUAGCGGUGGAAUGCGUAGAUAUAUGGAAGAACACCAGUGGCGAAGGCGGCUCUCUGGUCUGCAACUGACGCUGAGGCUCGAAAGCAUGGGUAGCGAACAGGAUUAGAUACCCUGGUAGUCCAUGCCGUAAACGAUGAGCGCUAGGUGUUGGGGACUUUCCGGUCCUCAGUGCCGCAGCAAACGCAUUAAGCGCUCCGCCUGGGGAGUACGACCGCAAGGUUGAAACG
RNAcentral lists this ribosomal RNA (555 nucleotides) under uncultured bacterium. RNAcentral describes it as "partial 16S ribosomal RNA". It matches the Rfam family "Bacterial small subunit ribosomal RNA", at positions 355 to 901 of the family's 1533-position model. The record is from RNAcentral.